Gasterosteus aculeatus aculeatus (three-spined stickleback) is the source of this 1093-nucleotide long non-coding RNA. The record is from Ensembl. NCBI's taxonomy places the organism in Eukaryota, Metazoa, Chordata, Actinopteri, Perciformes, Gasterosteidae.
GUCUCGAGCCGAGUGACCGUGACCUCCUCCACCAAGAAGAGUCUCUCGGUUGAAGAUGGAGGUCGUUUCUUAUCUGUUUUCACUUGUAUUGGUUUCUUGGGCCGAGUGACCCCGACCUCCUUCUCCAUCCAGCAGAGUCUCUCGGUUGAGGGAGGAGGUCGUUUCUUAUCUGUUUUCACUUGUAUUGGUUUCUUGGGCCGAGUGACCCCGACCUCCUUCUCCAUCCAGCAGAGUCUCUGGGUUGAGGGAAGAGGUCGUUUCUUAUCUGUUUCCACUUGUAGCGGUGUCUCGGGCUGAGUGACCUUAACCUCCUCCUCCACCAAGAAGAGUCUCUGGGUUGAGGAAGGAGGUCGUUUUCUAUCUGUUCUCACCUGUAGCGGUGUCUUGGGACGAGUGACCCCGACCUCCUUCUCCACCAAGAAGGAGGAAGAGGAAGGAGGUUGUUGGUGGGGUUCUUUGUCGUUCUCUAAAACCUGUGAGAUACAUCCGGGGGAUUUAAAAUUCCUACAUGUCCUUUCUGAGACAGGCGCGAGUGGACGGACAGCUUCAAAACACUCAUCGAUCGCGUUCAAAAUAUGUUUCCGAAUGAUGUCUUUCAGGUCUGGGGGAAAUUUAAACGCUUCCACUUUUACUUCUUGUCUUGUGUGCGAUGGUUGUGCGUAUUUCUCCAGUUCCGUGGACUCCUCAUCGUCCUCUGCUGGCUUUUGUUCAGGAUUCAACUGAAAUAUCGCGGGAGGUUUUAAGAAGGUCGGAGUCCAGUUCUCCAGGAGAGUUGUCCAGUUCUCCAGGAGAGUUGUCCAGUUCUCCAGGAGAGUUGUCCAGUUCUGCUGUUUCUUGAGACCGUUGUGCGUCACUCUGUUCUGACUUCCCUGCAUCAUACUUUGCUGGCUCGGACCCGCUGGACAAGAUUGGGGAAAGAAUCAAUUCUCUAUGCACAGGGACGCUUUCACUCUCCACGUGCUGGCAUUUCUCAUAUCUAUUUAAUCUGAAGGCCUUCUUCCAGCAAGACGUCAUUGCCUUAAAAAAUCUCUUCUUUCUUCUUCCAGAUUUUCCCUUGUGGGCUUGAACAGAAUCACAUGGUGAACUGAUUAUA